RNAcentral lists this ribosomal RNA (352 nucleotides) under uncultured bacterium. RNAcentral's name for it is "bacterial SSU rRNA". It matches the Rfam family "Bacterial small subunit ribosomal RNA", at positions 527 to 881 of the family's 1533-position model. The record is from RNAcentral.
GGAGGAUCCGAGCGUUAUCCGGAUUUAUUGGGUUUAAAGGGAGCGUAGGCGGGUGCUUAAGUCAGUUGUGAAAGUNUGCGGCUCAACCGUAAAAUNGCAGUUGAUACUGGGCGCCUUGAGUGCAGCAUAGGUAGGCGGAAUUCGUGGUGUAGCGGUGAAAUGCUUAGAUAUCACGAAGAACUCCGAUUGCGAAGGCAGCUUACUGGGCUGUAACUGACGCUGAUGCUCGAAAGUGUGGGUAUCAAACAGGAUUAGAUACCCUGGUAGUCCACACAGUAAACGAUGAAUACUCGCUGUUGGCGAUACACAGUCAGCGGCCAAGCGAAAGCAUUAAGUAUUCCACCUGGGGAGU